GACCAGACUCCUACGGGAGGCAGCAGUGGGGAAUAUUGGACAAUGGGGGGAACCCUGAUCCAGCGACGCCGCGUGAGUGAAGAAGUAUUUCGGUAUGUAAAGCUCUAUCAGCAGGGAAGAAGAAAUGACGGUACCUGACUAAGAAGCCCCGGCUAACUACGUGCCAGCAGCCGCGGUAAUACGUAGGGGGCAAGCGUUAUCCGGAUUUACUGGGUGUAAAGGGAGCGUAGACGGCGAAGAAAGUCUGGAGUGAAAGCCCGCGGCUUAACCGCGGAACUGCUUUGGAAACUUUUUGGCUGGAGUACCGGAGAGGUAAGCGGAAUUCCUAGUGUAGCGGUGAAAUGCGUAGAUAUUAGGAGGAACACCAGUGGCGAAGGCGGCUUACUGGACUGUAACUGACGUUGAGGCUCGAAAGCGUGGGGAGCAAACAGGAUUAGAUACCCCGGUAUU
This 450-nucleotide ribosomal RNA is filed under the name uncultured bacterium. RNAcentral's name for it is "bacterial SSU rRNA". It matches the Rfam family "Bacterial small subunit ribosomal RNA", at positions 329 to 794 of the family's 1533-position model. The record is from RNAcentral.